RNAcentral lists this ribosomal RNA (522 nucleotides) under uncultured fungus. RNAcentral's name for it is "SSU rRNA". It matches the Rfam family "Eukaryotic small subunit ribosomal RNA", at positions 569 to 1092 of the family's 1831-position model. Lineage: Eukaryota; Fungi. The record is from RNAcentral.
AGCAGCCGCGGUAAUUCCAGCUCCAAUAGCGUAUAUUAAAGUUGUUGCAGUUAAAAAGCUCGUAGUUGAAUUUCGGGAUCAAUACGUCGGUCGUGCCUUUGGUACGUACUAAUGUCAUUGAUUUCUCCCUUCUGAUGAAUCAUGAUGUCAUUAAUUUGAUGUUGUGGGGAGUCAGGACUGUUACUUUGAAAAAAUUAGAGUGUUUAAAGCAAGCACGCGCUUGAAUACAUUAGCAUGGAAUAAUGAAAUAGGACGUUCGAUUCUAUUUUGUUGGUUUCUAGGAUCAACGUAAUGAUUAAUAGGGAUAGUUGGGGGCAUUAGUAUUCAAUUGUCAGAGGUGAAAUUCUUGGAUUUAUUGAAGACUAACUACUGCGAAAGCAUUUGCCAAGGAUGUUUUCAUUAAUCAAGAACGAAAGUUAGGGGAUCGAAGACGAUCAGAUACCGUCGUAGUCUUAACCAUAAACUAUGCCGACUAGGGAUCGGAUGAUGUUAAUUUUUUAAUGACUCAUUCGGCGCCUUACG